UCGAAAUAAGCUUUUGGUGCGUAUGGAACAUUUUUUAUAUAUUUUAUUUCAGUUCAUGAAAUGGGACCAACACUUUACAUGUUGGGUUUAUAUAUUUUUGUUCAGUAUUGGUAGGUCGUGAAUGGUCUCUCUCCAGUACAGUAGGUGGCAGUGUAUGCAGCUUAAUUUGGAUGCGCUCCGCUAAAGCAAUCCAAAAAAAGAAGUAUUUUUGUCCUCGUUUUAGGCGGCAAACGAGCAAAGUGGAGCUCCUUUUUUAAAACCUUACAUGUUGCUAUGUAUUGACUAAAGGAGAUGAUUGGCAUGGAUGGAAAUUACCGAAACGAAUGUGGUUCAGCAUAUCUCAACGAGUCCGGUGUCCUUGAAGUCAAGCGACGCAUGCUGACAAUAAAGUGGGUCGGCAUCUCAUCGUGUCCGAUGUCCUUGAUGAACUCGCAUGAUGGGGUGUCUUGAGGAAGUACCACUGAGGUGCCUUGUUGGACCUAGACUAUAACAGGGGGGUCUGUGAAGCCUUCCCUGGCAGUUGCAGGUGUGAGCAUGUAUACAGCAGUUUGAUGCUCUUGUAUGAUACUGCACACACAUGUCUUUAGAAAACAGAUGUAUCCCUUCCUUAUAUAUUUUAUGGUGGUUAAAUGAGGUUGGUUUAUUGUGCAACUCCUAGCUUUAUUUCCUCAUUGCAUGUGUCAUGCUGCGUAGGCUACGCCCACCAUUUUCAACAUCUUGCAUGAAGAUUUGUCAAUUACAUAAGGGAUAAUCAAGGGGCUAUGUGUUCUGUGGAAGGCGACGUGCUAGCGGAGUGGAACUUACCUCCCAGGGAGUUGAAUAAUUUUCCAGCGAACACAUAGAACCCCCGCGUUGGUUAUCCGUUUUGUACCAUGGCUAUAAUAUGGCACAUUUACCAGGAGAUGUGUUCCAAAUGUGUAAUGUUGUACUUGUUGACGAAAUUCAUGCUAAUGUUUUCAUCCACAUUGACUCCCCUUCACUCCCUGAAGGAGAGCUUUCCUUGUCCCAGAAAGCACCGCACGGCCCAUUGACGACACAUGGGCAACUUACACAAUGGCCGUUAAUACGAUUCCAAUGGAAUUUCCCCUUAUCCUCAAAAGUAUCUCUGACCAACCCAGCAGUCCUAUUUUGCUAUUUUGAAAAUGUUUUAAAUGUGUCUUUUACUUUCAAAAGCAGUUCAAACAGAGAACAUGGAAGAAUAAACUGUAGCCACUGAAUUUCCACCGUGCUGAUGUAUUGUGCAUUAUAGGGAAAUAAUGCAUGUUCUAGAAUGCCCUUCAAGCCAAUCCGUAACGAUGAUUUAACAAUGCCAUGGUAUAAAGUAGGGGGCAUGAGAGCUACUAAAAAAAUGAAGUGUCAUUUAUUUUUAUGGCUUUCAAAUGGGCCUGUUCUUUUUGAAUGUCUGCUGCAGCACAGUUUGCUAAACAAAGGCUACCCAAUUGAGACAACUAAUCAUAUUUUUGUCGGGUAAGCAUGCUAAUGUCAAUGUGGCGUUGAUUGGAUAGCAGCCGGGAGCUUUUUGUUUAUGACCGUCUGCGAUAGAACUCAUUAAAAAGCAUCUCUUUUCAGAAUUGUUGGAGAAAAAAAGUUUCCAACGCCAUCUGUUUGAACCCCCAGGAGGUGAUGCCCCUCUGUGCUCCUCUUCAGCCCAGUGGGUUCUGACUCGUCAGUUGAUGCACUUCCUCUCUUGUGUUAGGUUUUGUACCACUUCCUGGUUCCAACGCUUGUCCUGAUGGAGUGAAGGAGAAGAAUCAAACCAACCGUUGAUGUUUUGACUGAUGUAUAUUCAUAGAAAUAGAUUACAUGUAAUCUAUAGUGGUGUAUUGUCAUCAGGAGAACCAUUUGUCAAAGAUUCAGUGAAGUAUAUUAUCCACUUCCUCGAGGAGAAGGUAGCAAGCUAUAAGCAUGAGAAUGCUCUUGCAGGGGGCUCUGUAACGCCCAUAUCACAUUUGUAUGAAUGUAUGUCUGGAAUAUACUGUUCUCUUAGUGGCGUAAACUAAUGUGGCAUGAUGUCAGAACUAAUUUAGCCUUACAUUUGUCCAUGAUUAUCAAUAAAACUAGUAAACAAACUUGUA
Oncorhynchus gorbuscha (pink salmon) is the source of this 2075-nucleotide long non-coding RNA. RefSeq lists it as uncharacterized. The transcript has 3 exons. The record is from RefSeq and is a predicted model, not a curated record. Lineage: Eukaryota; Metazoa; Chordata; Actinopteri; Salmoniformes; Salmonidae.